UUGUAGCAUAUUGUGUAGCACAAUAUUCAAAAUUCAAAGGAUCGUAUCUCCCAGUGAAAAGUGAAACGACUUGACGGAGAGUUAACAUAAGCCGACAGUUACUUUCAGUUUUAAUUUAAUGCCAUGUGCAACUCGUGGGCGUGACAUUGCCCAUAUGCCAUGAGCAUAAUCGUACAAAAUAUCCUCGAUACUCUACAUAACAUAUCUGUAGUAUGAAUUGAUGAAACUAAAUAAAAUGAAGAGACAUAUCGUUUAAUAUCAACUUAUGUACCAGAGACUUCUUUUGCCAUUUACCAUUACUGCAUUGCUGGGUAUGAAUAUGAGUAUGGG
Microplitis demolitor is the source of this 330-nucleotide long non-coding RNA. RefSeq lists it as uncharacterized. NCBI's taxonomy places the organism in Eukaryota, Metazoa, Arthropoda, Insecta, Hymenoptera, Braconidae. The record is from RefSeq and is a predicted model, not a curated record. The transcript is spliced from 3 exons.